RNAcentral lists this signal recognition particle RNA (266 nucleotides) under Bacillota bacterium. RNAcentral's name for it is "signal recognition particle sRNA large type". It matches the Rfam family "Bacterial large signal recognition particle RNA". Rfam says of the family: The signal recognition particle (SRP) is a universally conserved ribonucleoprotein involved in the co-translational targeting of proteins to membranes. Archaeal SRP consists of a 7S RNA and homologues of the eukaryotic SRP19 and SRP54 proteins. The record is from RNAcentral. Lineage: Bacteria; Bacillati; Bacillota.
CCGUGCAGGACGGGGCGGUAGCGGCUCCCUGAACCUUCAAUCCGCUAUAGUAGGGUCCAUGCUUCGGCCUCGGGCAGGCCUUGUGGGGUCAGCCUUGAAUAAGUGGCGUUGAGAAUCGGGUCCCGCGCGGCGGGCUGCCGCGAACCCCGUCAGGUCCGGAAGGAAGCAGCGGUAAGCGGAUUUGUCCCGGGCGCCGCGGGUUCGCCUGGUUUGAGCCGGCUGUUUGAUCAGCGCCUGGAAGGUUUUGUUCAAAGCCAAGCGCACGG